RNAcentral lists this ribosomal RNA (489 nucleotides) under uncultured bacterium. RNAcentral's name for it is "bacterial SSU rRNA". It matches the Rfam family "Bacterial small subunit ribosomal RNA", at positions 28 to 521 of the family's 1533-position model. The record is from RNAcentral.
GAUGAACGCUAGCGGGAGGCCUAAUACAUGCAAGUCGAGCGGUAGAGUCCUUCGGGGCUUGAGAGCGGCGCACGGGUGAGUAACGCGUACAUGACCUACCUAUAAGACAGGGAUAGCCCUGGGAAACUGGGAUUAAUACCUGAUGUGAUAAUAUGUAUAGAGAUGUAUUAUUAAAGUUGAGGCGCUUAGAGAUGGGUGUGCGUCUGAUUAGCUAGUUGGUAGGUAACGGCCUACCAAGGCGACGAUCAGUAGGGGGCGUGAGAGCGUGGCCCCCCACACGGGUACUGAGACACGGACCAGACUCCUACGGGAGGCAGCAGUAAGGAAUAUUGGUCAAUGGAGGCAACUCUGAACCAGCCAUGCCGCGUGCAGGAUGACGGCCCUAUGGGUUGUAAACUGCUUUUGUACCAGAGAAAACCUACUCACGUGUGAGUAGCUGAUAGUAUGGUAAGAAUAAGCAUCGGCUAACUUCGUGCCAGCAGCCGCGGU